This 4815-nucleotide long non-coding RNA is filed under the name Triticum aestivum (bread wheat). RNAcentral describes it as "long non-coding RNA (TAES_LNC027160)". The record is from RNAcentral. Lineage: Eukaryota; Viridiplantae; Streptophyta; Magnoliopsida; Poales; Poaceae.
UCGAUUGGCUGUUAGACAGGUUCGUUCAUGUUCGCUCAUCUUGAUAAUAUACGUUUCAGUUAGAUCGCAAAAAUCGUGUUGUCUAGCAUGCAAGUUUUUUUUUCAUGAAUCCACGCCAGCUAAUGCAUACAGGGAAAAGAGGGAACAUUGAAGAACCAUAUUCUCCUCUCCACUUUGCUCUACGGUGCUGAAAGCAAAAAAUAGAUUUACUUAUUUCUGGUGUGAUUACUAUUUUUUUAUCCUUGUAUUAAGCAUAUCAGUGAAUAUGAAUAUAUUAAGCCAUGCUCUUUGUUUACGAUUGAGUUGUUGCAACUCCAUAUGUAAUAUGCGAGCUGCCAAAGUGAUGUACUGUAUAUCAGAGUAACUAUUUAUCUUUUCAACCAAUCAUGAAAUUGAUUGCAAUUCUAUUAUCACGUUUGUUUACACAAGAGAAUUUUCUUAAUCGAUCAUGUUUUUUUGUUCUCUGCAGAAACUUUUAGCCAUCAAAUUAUUAUUGCACUUGCGAGUCAAACUGUGCAAAAAGAUGGAUCAAAGGCCACCAUGGCAUCGGCACAUUGACAAUGAUCUUGCUCCUCUCAUUUUCUUUCUUUCUGAAUCCCUCAAUCCAUCAGAGGAGCUCAAGUCCAAGUAGAGGCAGCUCAUGAAUUUCUGAACAAAGACAGUGAGCAAAGAAUCCCCCAAAGAGCAAAGAUGUGUUUGUUAGUUUGCAACUAGCACACAAAGAAUGUCAACCUUGAAACCUAAAGCACUUUCUACUUAGAGAACUACUGGCUCAAACAGAGAAUUUCUGCAGCAGCAACAUAUAUGAAAAGUGUUGUUUUUUAUUGUUUACCAGGGGAAUAUACAUAUCACUAUCCAAGAAUGACUUCAUGUUCUGGUACUCUUUUUUUGGUUAUAUCUUGGGAGAAUACACAUUGGACUGUGUGGGGAGUAUAUAUCUUUUCCGAAAAGUAAAGUAAAAUUCAAGGGCAGAAGAUUCACAAUAUAAUCGUUCUUGAGGUGUCCACUAGACCUGAAAUGGUAAGUAUUUUUUGUCUGCAGUUAUAACAUAACACAACCACUUGUCUUUUAGAAUCAUAGACAUCACAAAGCAAUAAUUCUGACAUUUUCACAAUAGCCGAUGUCCAUUCUUAGCUUUACAAAUAUAUACUUCCUUGAAAUAAAUAUAUGGUAACUUGAAACAGGUCCAUUGUAAAGGAGGCACUACACCUAGCAGUCUUAUUCCCAUAGAUUGAAGAAAUGUUUGAAAAACGUACACAUACUACUUUUUCAAUUGUUCCUCCUGUUUUAUGUAACAUUGAUCCUUAGUACUUCGAUAGAAAUAUUAUUAAUACCUAAUAUUUCAUGAUGAAUCUAAUGAUACUAAUUUGGUGUUCGAGAUGUUGAUAUAUUUUUCUCUAGCCUUACAAAGUUAGAAGUUCAGUUAAUUUGGGACGAAGGGAGUAUAGAUUUGCGCCGUGGGAGUUAUAUUAAUAUAAUUUUUACAAAAGUACGCACAUAAUGGUAUAAUUUAGUAGGUUUUGUAGAUUUAAUAAAAUGACUGGUCAAAUUUGCAGAAAUUCAAGUAAAAACAUAGCACUUCUUUUUGACCGGGGAUAGUAAUUGUUAGUUUUGCUUCAUGCAUAUUUGUCUUGUGGGUUCUCAUAGUUGGACUGAGCAUUGCAUUGGCUUGUUCCCCAUGCUGUAAUCAUGGUUUUCGAGUCGCGACUCAUGCGAGUCGCUCUAGGGCAGCGACUCGAAAGAAGUCGAGCCUGCGUUGUGACUAGUCGCGACUCAGAGUCGCGAGUCGACACUAAGCUGAGUUGACCAUAUUUUUGCGACUCAUAGACUAGUCGUGACUAGUCGAGCGACUCAAAAUCCAUGGCUGUAAUUCAUAGAUGACGACUAAUCUUGCAUUCCUCUCAAACUGAAGAAGACAAUUAAUUUUGUGCUAUGUUUUCAGAUCAGUAUCCCCUGGAUUUUCAAUUCAGUGUGCUGAUGGUGAUGAGUAUGGUCUCAAGCCUGCAGAAAAUUCCCCGUGAGUUUGAAACUAUUUAUUUCAUUGCAUACUCUGAAUUCAGUGGUCUGUCGAAGGCUCGAAGAAUAACACUUUAUAGUUUAAUAUCAUCAAUUUUUUAUGUUCCGUAGGAGUUUAGUGGUGCACUAUCUUAAUUCUGAACCUGUGUGCAUCAUUGCACUGAGCAGAAAAUAAGUUGUAGAAAACUAUUUGAUCGAUCAUAGAAUUUAAUAUUGGAAACUAAAUUUGUGGAAUUUGUUGUUAUAAAAUAUAUAGUACGUAAUGCCAAUUUAAAAACAAAAUAAAACCCCUUCACAAAUUUGCACUUUUUUGUGGGGACAUCUAUAACUAAUAUUACAUUGCAAAAAUGGAGGGGCGCAGCAACGCGCGCCAUCAAUGGUCUAGUAUACCUAAGAAGUUGGUCUACUAUCAGCCAUGCAUGCAUGCACGUCAUCUUUUUUACCCUGCACGCCCGCACACUCAACCAUCAAUCGUGUGUGCCUGCCUGCCUUCCCUACAUGGGCAUCACAUCGUUUGGCUGGAUAUGUUCCUUCAGUUUCUCAUCGGGCCGCUUCCUUUAUUCUCCAUAAUAAUAGCGUCCUUUAGUUUUUUCCCAAUGGCCCAUCGCACCACCUGCGGGCCCAUGGAGAUAAUUAUUUUUCGCUGGAAGAUCAACCAACCGUGCUCUCCUUGACUAUCCGCCUCCAUACGUUUAUCUGUUCCCAUUCUCUCGCCCCUCGCUUGAUCUCCUUUACCAGAAGCUCCGACGAUUUCUGCGGCUCGCCCUUUUUGGUGGUUGUCCACACCAUCCAUCGUUUACUGGGAUCAACGCAUAAUCCCCGCGAUGUCAUCUAUCUGCCGCCAUUCAGGAUCGAAGCUGCAGCCCACCGGCCGGCGCCAAAGGUUAUUCUCAAUAGUCAAUAUCACAGUACUCUACCCGUGAGGAUCUCUGCCGCCGCACAUCGUCGUUCCUAUCGCCCACUACAUCUGAAUGAACUCCUACGCCAGCUUAGCAACUACUGCCUGCUGGGACGAUUAAUCUUUCUACUCGUGUCUUGGUCUACACGAUUUUCUUUCUUGAUCAGCAGUUCGUCUAUCUCUCCCACUGAUGGAUUUUAGAGUGGCCAGGUCGAUUUUGCACAACUGAACCUUUUUUCUCUGCCUUAUCUUCCAGGUAUAUAUUUAUGUGCUGCUUUAUGCCGAUGGGGAUUUCCUUAUCUUGGAAAAGUGUAAUGUAGGCAAAUAGUUCUGGGGGAUUACAAGGUCAACUGCUCAAUUCAUAUGGAUACGGUUCAGCAUCUACAGUGAAAUCACAAGGUUUCACUCUUGACACAAUUUUUCUGCUUGACAUUUCUUAAGCCUGGCUCCUAUUAUUCAUCUGCUGCAACCAAAAUCAUUUUUGUUAGUUUUUUACACAUAUGCGUGCAAUAGUUGUUAUAAAUCACGACCUUCAAAUUAAGUUUAUGAGUGAUAUUUACUUAUUUUAUGAAGUGUUUAGUGUUGGAUGUAACCUUGGUUGAACUGCAGGGAGGAGGGGCAUCAAGGUAGGCGACAUAGUUGCUGCUGAGAGACCAUAUAACUCCAACUCUGUGCUAAAUCUGCAGUUCUGCAUGGACGUUCGGGGCAAGAAUGAGAACUGCCGCUAUAGCCAUGCCUCACUAUCCUGCAGCACAAUUGUGGAGAAUCACCUUAGUUUAAUUUUUCUCACCAUGCUUCACUUCCAUUCAGUGUAGUGGAUUCUAGCUAUUUGAGAGGUAACAUGUUUUCAAAUGCUACCCUCAUAUUUUUUCAUUCUGGUGUUUCUCAUAGCUGUUCGGGUAAGAGAUCAAUGGGAAAUGACCAUGUGUUUGGAUAGCAAGUUCUUUGGGCACUUUUCCAUACUGAUCAAAAUAGUAAUUCAAACCAAUUACUUUCUUGACAUUCCACAUGUGCACAUCCUGCUUACCCCACUUAAUCAACAUGUGGGCCAUGUUUUAGUUCAGCCUUUGCCCUAGACCAAAAAAAAUCUUUGUCGUUGCCAGCAGGAAAAUUAGCAUUUUUUUAUGUAUGUUUCGUUAUGCAUUCAUAGAUCUUCAUGUGCAAUAAUAAGGCAUUUUCUAGCUUCUGAUGCUGCUACAGUUUCCGCACUUUCAGACUCGACAACCUUGCAAUCUGUAGUUUUGAAAUAUCCUUACCAUGAUGAAUAUUAAACUUCAAACAGUCAAUUAUUUGUAGACUCCAUUAUGUGAAAACUUAUCCUACCUCUAUUCUAUUAGCAAUUUAUUUUCCUGAAAAUGCAGACUUGGAGCAAAACAAGAAGUUUACGACAAUGUUGACGUAUAAUUGCCGUAAUAAGUUCUGAUUCUCGUCAGGUAGGAAGUUUGGAGAAGAAAACAUAAGUUUUUAAAAGAAGGGAAUGGUAAAAAGGUUAGUCCGUUCAACUAUAUAAACCAUAAAGGUGCGAUGGUGAUGUCACCGUCAGUAAGGAUAAGAUGAAAAAGAAAAUUAAAAACUAAAACUAAAAGAACAUCAAGUGAUUUUUUUUUGACAAGUACAAACUCUAGUACCAUAAGUACCAUAAAUUUUAAAUAAAAAAAUUGCAUCAGUUCUGACUCAAGAGACAAUAAAUUUGCAAAAAAAUUUGUACCAGUAAAAGUUCGGAGGAAAAAAAGCAACUUAAUAAAUGAAAAAAAAACACAAGUUCACGAUUAGAAAAGUUGUAUGUUCAAACAUGACGUCUCUGAUAAGUUUGGGGAAAAGCUCAAACAAAAGAAAAACCCAUGGAAAUUCAAAUGGUAAAAGUUCAAGUCGCAAAACGCGAGAAGUCCAAAACAUCGUUG